CCUACGGGUGGCAGCAGUGAGGAAUAUUGGUCAAUGGACGAGAGUCUGAACCAGCCAAGUAGCGUGAAGGAUGACUGCCCUAUGGGUUGUAAACUUCUUUUAUAUGGGAAUAAACUGUUCCACGUUUUGGAUUUUGUAUGUAACAUAUGAAUAAGGAUCGGCUAACUCCGUGCCAGCAGCCGCGGUAAUACGGAGGAUCCGAGCGUUAUCCGGAUUUAUUGGGUUUAACGGGAGCGUAGGUGGAUUGUUAAGUCAGUUGUGAAAGUUUGCGGCUCAACCGUAAAAUUGCAGUUGAAACUGGCAGUCUUGAGUACAGUAGAGGUGGGCGGAAGUCGUGGUGUAGCGGUGAAAUGCUUAGAUAGCACGAAGAACUCCGAUUGCGAAGGCAGUUCACUGGACUGCAACUGACACUGAGGCUCGAAAGUGUGGGUAUCAAACAGGAUUAGAUACCCCUGUAGUC
This 460-nucleotide ribosomal RNA is filed under the name uncultured bacterium. Its description in RNAcentral is "partial 16S ribosomal RNA". It matches the Rfam family "Bacterial small subunit ribosomal RNA", at positions 338 to 795 of the family's 1533-position model. The record is from RNAcentral.